Long non-coding RNA from Pistacia vera, 365 nucleotides. RefSeq lists it as uncharacterized. The record is from RefSeq and is a predicted model, not a curated record. The transcript is spliced from 3 exons. Lineage: Eukaryota; Viridiplantae; Streptophyta; Magnoliopsida; Sapindales; Anacardiaceae.
GUGCUUACCUUAAAGUAUUGUAGAGUUCGAUUCAAGAAUAUUGGGAUUAACAGGACCAGAUAGCGCCAUAAGGCAGAUGGCACAGGAAUACCGUGUUUAUUUCAAGAAGGUCGAGGAGGAAGGGGGUGAUUAUCUUGUUGAGUCUUCCCACGGCAUGUAUUUGAUGAACCCAAACAUGGAGGUUGUUAGAUGUUUUGGGGUUGAGUACACUUCAGAAGAACUAGCAGUAGAAAUACUAAAGCAACUGAAGAAAACUCCAGCAACUUGAUCAUUCAAAUCCCUUUCAAGCCACCUACCGAGGAAACUACCUCAUUUUCGGACCUUUCCAGGUAAUAAGAGAAGAAAAAACUCCAUGUAUGACUUUU